UGUCAAUUGAAAAAAAAACAAAAAUAAACCCGCGCUUUGAAAGCGCGGAUCAAAAUCUAGUUUUCAUAUUAAAAGGCGAGAAACAAAAUGGUGAAAGCUAGAUGCUUAAGUUAAUUAAAUGGUAAAGGCCCAGUAAUUAAGCAGCCCAAAUACAGAAAACUUUGCAUGCGAGUCGGAGGAACCGGAUUCAGGACCGGACCUGACCGGAGUUACCAAGAGACAAUUAGUUCAGAGGAGCAGACGAUCAAAGAAAGAUGAGGACUGUGAGGAAUAGAUGAUCAAUGAAAGAUAAGUGAAUGUUCUAUCUUUUAUAUCAAGAUUCACUUUUUCGUUUAACCUUUGUUUGUUUCUUCUUUAAGUCGGCAAGAUUCUUAUAUAUCUGAAAGUAUCAGACUAAUCCACGGGUUGAGAAUUGAGAAGUACAUUGACUAUUUUCCCUAAAGAAUACCAAAAAAUAUUUUUAUUUAAAAUUAAAAAAAACUUUUAAAAUUGAACAAUAGGUGAGGAUACGACAUCGUUUAACAAUGGUACAUGUUUUCCUGAGUUUAAUAACCUAAAUCUUUUUCCAUCUUCGUGAGUACGGCGAGUUUAGAAUCGUCUUUCUCCUUUUUGUGUUAUCUUUUUUCUCUAGAAUAGCUCGUUUCUUCGUCUCCAAUCAAGCUUGAUUUAUCGCUAGCCUCCAGUCUUUUUUCACGCUAUCAAUCGCUGGCGGUUUCAGCAUCUUCAUGUUAUUCACCAGCACAACCGUUGAUUUCACCUUCUUGAGCCACCGGCGAACUUCUUUACCGUCUGAACCACAACACAGCUUAUAUCGCCGCGUUAACCACCUUCAGAUUGGUAAGCGUACUUGUUUCCAACGAUUGUCUUUCUUUGGGAAGUCUUGGGCUUCCUCUCAUAUGCGAGAGCUCUGUUUACCAUUGUGCUCUGGAAAGUUUGGGAAUAAAAUGGGGAAGAAAUCUAAUCGGUUGGACACAACAACAACUUACACCGGAGACUGGCCGGAAAUAGUCGUCCUCCGUAAUUUAACUCGGGCUCUAUUGUCAGUUCAAAAACACAGAGUUCAAGAAUGGCUGCAGCCUUAGGCAUGUUUAGUCACGGUCCAGAAAAUGAUGAUAAAAGAUGGUGGGCUUAGAUCAUGUAAGUUGCAGCCCAAGUGACUAAACUAUCUAAGACCGCAUCAAAUUCAUUAAAUCGUUAAUGAAACGCAGAGUUUCGAGAUGGUAGGACAGGUGUCGCACUCACAAUCAAUGACUUUUUGACCUGGCGCUGACGUGGAUGCACAGGAGUGAAGCAAACAUUUUUUUAUAUAUAUAGAUAUUAAUUGCGAUUGUUUAUUAUAACGGCAAAUAAAUUAUGUGUUUGAGAUAAAUGUGUAUUUAUAAUUUCAAAUAAUUAUAUACUAGAUGGUAGUCCGAGAAUUAUCGGAUAUAAAUAUUGUGAAUAUAUAUAUAUAUAUCAUAAAUUUUGAAUAAUAAUUAAAAAUAUAAUUUUAACUCUUAAUAGUUUGAAAAUCAAUCGUAAAAUUUCUAUAAAUGUGAUGUAAAAAUAACUAAUAAAUAUUUAGUAAUAACAAAAACUUGUGGAAUUAUAUAUAUAAUUAUCACAUUAACUUCUCCAAUAGAUAUUGUGCAUCUUCUUCUGCCUCUUCUUAUUUUUUCAUUAUCAUUUUGUUUUUUAAUUAAAUAUUUACUAAUGUUUUCUUAAUUUUUUACAUAUAUAUGUAUUUCUCUCUCAAAAUAGUAAUACAAAAUAUACAAUCAAUGAACCAAAAAUCCAUCUUAUAAUGCUUUUCAAUCAUACCAUUACCUUAUUCACUAUAUUAUUUGACUUAAAUGCAAAACAUUUAUAAAUCAAAGUUCUCACAUGUUCUAUUAAAUAUAAUAAUAAUUAUAGAUACGACUAUAUUUUAUAUAUAUGAAUAUGAAAUCAUUCUAUCGAUUUCUAUAAAUUGUUUUAUAUUCAUUAUUUUAUGUAGUAUGUAAAUAUAAAAAGAGUUGAUAAAAAUUAUUACACUUUCUAUAUUUUUGAAAAUUAGAUACCAUUAAUUAUUUUUUGUAAUUAUCAUUUAGGUUAUUUGGCAAGUGAUAGUAAUUAGUUUUAGACUUACCUUUUUAUUUUACAUGAUUUUAAUUCAAUCAUUAUAUUAUGUAGUUUAGAAAUCUAAAAAAAAAUGAUCAAACAGUAAUAUUCUUUAUAUAAUUUCAGUAAUUAGUUACCAUAAACCAUUAUUUUGAAUAUAAUUUAUAGUAUUUGGCACGUGAUAUUAACUGGCUCUAGAUUUAUUUUUUAUUUUAAAUCUAAAUUAAAAUAAAUUAAAUUAAAAAUUAUCGCCCAAGCAAAUUAUAACAAUUUUCUUAAGACUACACAUAUGAUCGAUAUGUAAGCAAAAGUCACUUAAGUGACGUCUAGUUUAAUAUAUAGGAAAUUUUUUUAUUUUUUAUAAAUGAUUUAUAAUCUCAUAUGAAUCAUCUAAAAUUAAGAUAAAAUAAUUUUGUAAGCCAUGAUAGAUAAUUUUAUAAAUGUUAUAUUUUUUUAUAAAUGACUCGUAAGACAUAUGUGGACAUUAUAAGAUAUUAAUAAGUAUAAUAAUUCAUUAUAUACGAAUGAAAUGUUUUAUGUAAGAAUAUGAAAUCAUUAUAUCGAUUUAUAUAAAUUUUUCUAAUAGUUAUUUUAUGUAGUAUAUAAAUAUAAAAAGAAUUAAUCAAACAUUGGUACAAUUUCUAUAAUUUUGACAAUUAGUUACCAUAAUUAUUUGUAAUAUCAUUUAUACUAUUUAGUAAGUGAUAUUAAUUAGUUAUAAACUUAGAUUUUACUAUAGAUCUAAUUAAAAUAAUUAAAAAUUAAAUAUCUUCCAACCAAUCAACUUAUAACAUUUUUUUAAAAACUCUCUUUAUGAUUGACACCAUAACAAAAGUCACUCAAGUGAAUUCUUAUUUAAUAUAUAGGAGGAUACUGAUUAAAUAUAAACAUAAUCAAGCAUGGUAUGUUAAUUAAUAUAUAUCAAUUUUAAAACAAUAUAUGUAUACUUUAAUAAAUACAUAUAUACAAUUUACUACUUGAUGGUCCUUAUAUAUACAUAACAAUUUUUAAUUUUAAUAUUUAUUUUUAUAAAAAAUUAAAUUAUUAAAUUAGAUACAAAUUUUAAAUUAAAAUUAUAAAUUAUAAAACUUCAAUAUUCAUAUUGGUUAUCAAUGUAUUAUUGUUUCAUAGUUUUAUUUAUAGGAUGUAGAUGUUGGAUCAAAAUCUUUUUUAUAGUGAUAAUCAAAUUAAGAAAUUUUGAUUUAAUUAAAAGCUUAUUUUCUUAAAUAUACUUAUUGUAUUUGUGGACCAAAAAGAUAUCUAGUGAAAGAACGUGAUUAUAAACAAUCACAUCACAUAAAACAUCAACAAAAUCACAAUAGCCAAUAAACAUUAUAUAUUCUCUAUAAUUUAGAUUUUAAAACAGUGAGACAAAAAAACAAAAUAAUGAAUUACAAAAUAUUAUCUAUGUAUACUCUUAGAUUAUAAUGCGUUUGCAAAUAUGACUCAAAACUCAAGGUUAAACGUAAAACUAACCCAUGAAUUUUUUGGAACUUUCAUAUGUCCUUUCACCCCAAAAAUUUAGAUUAUUCACGAAAAUACCAUUUUUUGUAUUUAUUUUUAUUUUUUUGAGAAUGAAUAUUUUACUAUAUCAUCCUCAU
Molecule: long non-coding RNA, 3680 nt
Organism: Brassica napus (rape)
Lineage: Eukaryota; Viridiplantae; Streptophyta; Magnoliopsida; Brassicales; Brassicaceae
Exons: 3
Source: RefSeq, a predicted model, not a curated record